This 9914-nucleotide long non-coding RNA is filed under the name Jatropha curcas. Its description in RNAcentral is "long non-coding RNA (JCUR_LNC000210)". Lineage: Eukaryota; Viridiplantae; Streptophyta; Magnoliopsida; Malpighiales; Euphorbiaceae. The record is from RNAcentral.
GAAAGAGGAACUUGGUAAUCUUUUUCCUUUAACCAUCGUAAAACCUCUCUGAUACUCAAAACUUCUGCUAGUAAAGAAUUGGAAACAAUGCCCAGAUGUUUCAUACCACCACCCGCACUGAAACCAGCAUGGUCUCUUACCAUCCAACCCGCUCUAGCUGACUUUGAUUGAAUAUAAAAUGAUGCAUCUAUAUUAAUCUUCAACUGACUAGGCGAUGAAGGCUUCCAUUUCAACAGCUUCAUAGAAACCAGUUGUUCUUGUUGGAUUCGAACGAUUCAUAAAUUGAGUAGCCUGCCAAGAACUGAUGAAAGAUUGAGCCCCUGGUCUUUUAUUAUUAAAGAUUACAUUAUUUCGCAUAUUCCAAAUUUUUCAACCCAAGGCAAUUGCUUCACAACAGAUAUCUAUAGUACAUCUGUCCUUUAUCUUUUGAAACCAAUCAAGAAUGGAAGUCAUAGAACCCCACCAGCCUGCAUUUGAGUUUAACUAGUAAUCUUUUGGAAAAUAACAAUCCACCAGACAAUGAAAAACAGAUUCUCUUCAACAUACGUACAGGGAAAAUGCGUGGAACCUCAAUUCUUCUAGACAAUAAAGCACUUCUCGUGGGUAAACUGUACAACAGAGGGCCUGCCACAUGAAGUUUGUUACUUUUGCUGGUAUUUUUGAGACUCCACAAGAAUUUUCAUUCUGCAGAAGGUAACAAAAAUUGAGAAUGCAUCUGCGAAAGGAGAGCUUGAUACCCACUACGAACAAUAUAUAGACCUUUGGACUCCGAAUUCCAAUUCCACGAGUCAUUAACAGCAUAUAGACUCAAUGGAAUCUGCAAAAUCAAGUGCACCUCUGUAUAGCUAAACAAGUCUGCUAAGACAUCAUUAUCCCAUUUCCUUUUACUCAUCAUAAACAAGUCUGUAUAGCCAUUAGUCAUUUCCUUUUACUGAUUAAUGAAUUUGGCCUUGUCAGUAAUCUCCAGCCUGUUUUAGCCAACAUUGCUAUAUUAAACUGAUGGAUUGACCGAAAGUCAAUACACCCUCUUCCUUUUUUCCGUCACAUAGAUCGUUAAGAUAGCCAAUGAAACACAUGUUUUACAAUUAGCAUCAUUUUUCCACCAAAAACGAUUCACAGCAUUUGCAAUUGGAGUAUAAACAUUACAUGGUAAAAGAAAAACAAUCAUCACGAAAUUAGGAAUAGGCAUGACCGGUUAAAUGAACCGCCGGUUCCAGUUCAUUGAACUAUCGGUUUCGGUUUAUUGAACCGCCGGUUUGAGAUGUUUAAAAUUUUAAAUCGGAAUCGACCCUUGAACCUCCGGUUCUGGUCCUGUUCCGGUUCUAGCAUGGUUUCGAUGAAUCAACGGUUCGAAUUACGGUUCCGGUAUUAUACAAAUUUUUAAAAAUAUUUAUAAAAUUUUGAUUCUGAAUUCAUAAAUAAAUAAUAAUUUUAAAAUGUUUAGAUUUUAUUAACUAAAUAAAUUAUUAUAAAAUUUUAAAAGAAAAACUUCCAUUAACUUAGAACUAUUAUUACAUUAAAUUUAUAAAUUUUGCUAAUUCACUAAUAUAGAAAAUUAUAAUUUUUUUUUUUAAUUUUGGGCUUGAAUUAAAUUAAAAUUGAAAAAUUUUAAUUUAAUUACCUAUGUAUAUUCUUGGGAAUUAGAGGAAAUCAAAGCCCACGUAGUUUUUUUUUUUUUUUUUUUACAAUGGAAAAUAACCUCCAAAUUAUUACAAUUAAUUUUAGUCAUCGGUGCCAUUAGUCCCCGUUAUUGAGCCAGAAUCAUCAUCAUCGCUUGAAUUUUGCUGGUCUUAAAUUUUCAACGCUGCUCUAGUGCAAUCGUCAACGCAUUCUUGCAUUUUCACAUUAUUUGGCAUAAUCUUGACCGUGUUGGAUCUAAAAUUUGUCCACCAGCACUAAAAGCUUGUUUCACUGCAACAAUAGAAAUUGGACAAGAAAGAAUAUCGUUUACAAUUGAAGCUAAGACUGGAAAGCGAUUUGUAUGCUUUUUCCACCAACUCAAAAUGUCAAAUUUUGUUGCGUCUUCAUCAGUAUCAUCACCCAAAAACUCCAAAUCUGUGCUAAUAUAUGUCUCAAUUUCCGUGUAUAAAUGUGGAUCCUCUUUUGGUUUUUUUGAAACAUUUUGCAUGAAAUUAAAUUGUGUAGAAUAAAAUUUAGUGGAUUGUGUAAUUUGUGGAUGUAAUACUUGAGGAAGGGGAGAUACUAAUUUAAAAUACUCAUCGUACAAGUGCCAGACAUACCUUAAAACAUUAUUAGUAAGAGAAAAAUAAUAUACUUCAAUAUUAAAAUAUCAUAAUAAAGACAAAAAAAUUAUUGUAAUGCAACUAACUUAAAUCUAGGACAAAGAAACAAUGCAACUAAAUUUAAAUUAGGAAUUUCAAUAUAAUAUUUUUUAACCAUUUAGUUUUCAUCAUGAAUAUACAUUCUUGUAAAUCAUCAUCAUUUUCAUUUUCAAUUAUGGCACUACUUAUGGCCAAACAAUGAAAUGGAAAUAAAUGGGAGGUAGGAUAAUAAACACCAUAAAAAUUCUUGUACAAUUUUCAAAAACUUGUAAAAUAUAUAAUAUUUUUUUAUAAAUAGUCCAAUCGGUUGGAUAAAGUUGAAAAUGUGAUGCAUGCAAUUGAAUUUCAUCUCAUGGGAAUAUCUCUUGAAAAUUUUUUAUAUUUUUUUCCCAUGGAGUGACAAAAAUUUUAAUUUUUUUUUUCUAACAUAUCUAUGUGUCCAUAAAUAAUUUAAAAUAUUUUUUAUUGGACGUAAAAAUUCAUUUAAUGUUGUUAAUGCAUCUUGAACACCUAAAUUUAAAAUAUGACAUGCACAUCAGUGUAAAAAAAUUUUCCACCAAAUUUGGAUUGACAAAUAGUUUUUAAUUUAUUUAUUGAUACCGUAUUUGCACUAGCAUUAUCAAAACCAAUUGUAAAAAUUUUUAGCCAAACUAUAUUCUUCUAAAAUAAUAUUUAACAUGAUAAAAAUAUUAUUGGAGGUGUGAGAGUCAUCAAAAACUCCAAGUGCAAUAUUCUUUUUUAAAUUUUCCAUUUAUUGUCAAUCCAGUGGGAAAUAACACCCAUAUAAGAAUGAGUUUGUGAUGCAUCACACCAAAUAUCACAACAAAUAAAUUUUACCAUCAAAAUUUGUAAAUAUAUUUUUUAAAAUUUCUUUUUCUUUCAAAUAAAUAGAUAAAAUUGUCCUUUUAAGUGUAUUCCUAGAUAUCUUUUUUUGUAAAAGAUUUAAUGUUUUUUUACGAUAGUUAUUAAAUCAAUUUUUUCACCAAAUGAAAAAGAUAAUCAUUCCAUACAAUCCAUCUUAGCCAUUUCAAUUUUAUUAGCUUCAUCACUAUAUUUAAAUAGUGGAGUGUUAGGAUCACCAUACCUUGAUGACAAUAAUUGAGUUUGAGUUAGAUCUAUUCCUACCUCACUUGAAUGAUAUGAUUUUAAAUGCCUAUUAUGAGUGCCAUAGCCUCCUCUAAGCUUGAGUGUAUUUUUUUUUUGCAAUAAUUAUAUCGAAUCGUAUUGAUUUCUCCGUUAUCUUAAACAAUUUUUGCAAAGUGCUUCUUGAAAACAUAUAAUUUUAGUGGUUUACCUAUUGAAAUGUUAGGAGAUGUUACUUCUUGUGAUGGAUGACGACGAAUAUAACGUUCCUCAACUAGAGUUUGAUAUUGAACUUCAUCAUUAAAUUGUAGUGAAAAAUCAAUUAAUGGUUCGUUUGAAUCAAUUUUUUCUACGCUUUGAGUAACUCACUUUCUCUUGGAGGUUUGUGAAUUGUGUGACAUGUUUUUAAAUGGAAUUAUGGAAAAAAAUGAAUAAAUUGAAUAUGAAAUUAAUGGAAUGAGUUGGAAAUUAUUAUUUCCAAAAUGUGAGAAAAUUAUUAAAAAAAAAUCAAAUGAAGUAAGUUUACGAAUGGAAAAAUUGAAAAUAAAAGGAAUUUAAAAUUGGAUGUAUGAAAAUAAAAAAUAAAAUUUGUUUGUGCAUCCGGUUCGAAUCGGACCCGCUUUAAUUUUGGAUACCGCUUUAAUAAAUUUUGGAUACGGCUUUAAUUUAAUUAUCCGUGGACCCCGCUUUGUAUUUUUUAACGUUAUUUCAUUAUCGUGAUUUGGACGAAUCGUUCCAUGCACCAUUUCGUAUACUUUACAUAAAAAUACUAGUAAAUUUCAAUAUAAAAAUAAUUUUUAAGGAUAAAAUUCAUCUAUUUUCAGUGUAUGAGCCUGCCGAUCAGCCGAUCAACAUGCAAAGUAAUUAAUUAGUACUUACUAGUAUAUAAGAAAAAUCCGUUACAGUUGGUAAUAUUUUAUUAAUUAUUUUUUCUUAAUAAAUUGACACAAAUAUUUUUCAUUAAUACUCGGACCUUAUCCAUUGCGAUCUGCAGAACCCAUUUAAAGACUCGAGAAAUUGUUAGUCAAAGACCCUGAAAAGAGAAAAAUGGCGGAGUCAAAGACGAUAGGCGUUGUGGGUAGCGGCCAAAUGGGGUCGGGCAUCGCCCAACUUGCCGCCGUACAUGGGUUCGAUGUCUGGCUCCUAGACACGGAUCCUUCUGCUCUGUCUAGAGCUAGAAAAUCUAUCACCAAUAACAUCAAUCGACUCAUCUCCAAAGGGCAACUCUCUCAGGUCAAUCAAAUAACACAACUUUUUCUUUUUGCUGAUAUUUUCACCUUUUUUUUUUUUGGGAAAUCAAAUAUUAAUAGUGGAAUUAUGAAUUUUUUCUUAUUGAUAUGAUUGACUGUACUUGAGUUCUAAUUUUGAAGCCCUCAUCACCAAUUAUGCUUGCUGUGUUUAAGUACUAAUGAGUAAAAGGACUGUAGGAUUAGCAGAUGCCCAAUUACAGAAGUAACAAAGUAGGAGGAUCAUUAAUUUCCAGGGUGAAGUUUUUAAGUGUCACUUUGAAAAUUUUCACAUGGAGAUAUAUUUCUUUUGCUAUGUGUUGAUAUUUUCCUUUUCGUUUGAACUCUUUUAAUCAGACUCCAGCGGUGAAUUUAUUGAUAAACAACAAGAACCAAUUCAGACGUUUAACUACUGUUUUGAAGUUCUUAUGAUGAAAACAUGUGAAUCUCUGUUUAAAGUUAAACUUUAACUAUGUCUGAGCAACAUAUUUGUAUCUAAUGCUUCUAUCACUAGCAAUUCAAAGAGUAAAGCCAAACAGUUACUUAGUGCAAAAAGUUGGUAUAUCCUACCCCCUGACUAUAAAAUAUCAAUGUCUUUCUUCUUUCUUGGGCUGGAGGUAAGCAUUUAUAGCAUCCAUGUUACAUUUGGACCAUUUUUUUAAAAUAAAUCUGAAGAUAUUGUAUGAUUGAAUUGUAGAGGGUGCUUUCAUGUUCUGGUUAUCUAUGUUUUCUGUUAAACGAACCCCAAUGCUCGAUUAUGUGUGCAAUGGUAUGACAUUAGAAUAUGAGUAAUCGGAUAUAUAUUGCAUAAAGAGAUGGCGACCAUGUGUUGAUUGUAUUUGAAGUCUUUAAGUAGUAAAAUUAAGACCAUUUAGUUAGCCGUAGUGUAAAAAUAUAUUGGAUUACACUAUAUUAUGUUCCAUGAUGGCUUACCAAAUUAUCCCAAGUUAGCUGAGGAAUUGCCUCUGAGAUCAGGGCUUUCAUGGAAAGAGGGAGUAUUUUCCAAUACUUAGACAAUUAAGAUAGUGGAAACAUAAUUUUUGAGCAUUUCUAUUCUAUGAUAAAUUUUCAAACCUUUAGCAAGUUAAGUUUUGAGUAAAAUUUGUAUUAGGAAGAUGUUGAUAGGACUGGAGAGAUUAAACCCAUUUCCUUCAGACUUAAGUAAUUUUGCAAAUAAAGAUUUUGAGAAAGUAAACUCUGUUUCCUUUUCUUGUAAAUUCGCGUGAAUGAAUGCUAAAAGAUUCUGGCUUUUCCACUUGAUAGGCAGGUGGUCACGAUGCUUUAGGGCGUCUAAAUUAUACCACAGAUUUGGAAGAGCUGCAUAUGGCAGAUGUUGAAUUAUGAAUUUUUUCUUAUUGAUAUGAUUGACUGUACUUGAGUUCUAAUUUUGAAGCCCUCAUCACCAAUUAUGCUUGCUGUGUUUAAGUACUAAUGAGUAAAAGGACUGUAGGAUUAGCAGAUGCCCAAUUACAGAAGUAACAAAGUAGGAGGAUCAUUAAUUUCCAGGGUGAAGUUUUUAAGUGUCACUUUGAAAAUUUUCACAUGGAGAUAUAUUUCUUUUGCUAUGUGUUGAUAUUUUCCUUUUCGUUUGAACUCUUUUAAUCAGACUCCAGCGGUGAAUUUAUUGAUAAACAACAAGAACCAAUUCAGACGUUUAACUACUGUUUUGAAGUUCUUAUGAUGAAAACAUGUGAAUCUCUGUUUAAAGUUAAACUUUAACUAUGUCUGAGCAACAUAUUUGUAUCUAAUGCUUCUAUCACUAGCAAUUCAAAGAGUAAAGCCAAACAGUUACUUAGUGCAAAAAGUUGGUAUAUCCUACCCCCUGACUAUAAAAUAUCAAUGUCUUUCUUCUUUCUUGGGCUGGAGGUAAGCAUUUAUAGCAUCCAUGUUACAUUUGGACCAUUUUUUUAAAAUAAAUCUGAAGAUAUUGUAUGAUUGAAUUGUAGAGGGUGCUUUCAUGUUCUGGUUAUCUAUGUUUUCUGUUAAACGAACCCCAAUGCUCGAUUAUGUGUGCAAUGGUAUGACAUUAGAAUAUGAGUAAUCGGAUAUAUAUUGCAUAAAGAGAUGGCGACCAUGUGUUGAUUGUAUUUGAAGUCUUUAAGUAGUAAAAUUAAGACCAUUUAGUUAGCCGUAGUGUAAAAAUAUAUUGGAUUACACUAUAUUAUGUUCCAUGAUGGCUUACCAAAUUAUCCCAAGUUAGCUGAGGAAUUGCCUCUGAGAUCAGGGCUUUCAUGGAAAGAGGGAGUAUUUUCCAAUACUUAGACAAUUAAGAUAGUGGAAACAUAAUUUUUGAGCAUUUCUAUUCUAUGAUAAAUUUUCAAACCUUUAGCAAGUUAAGUUUUGAGUAAAAUUUGUAUUAGGAAGAUGUUGAUAGGACUGGAGAGAUUAAACCCAUUUCCUUCAGACUUAAGUAAUUUUGCAAAUAAAGAUUUUGAGAAAGUAAACUCUGUUUCCUUUUCUUGUAAAUUCGCGUGAAUGAAUGCUAAAAGAUUCUGGCUUUUCCACUUGAUAGGCAGGUGGUCACGAUGCUUUAGGGCGUCUAAAUUAUACCACAGAUUUGGAAGAGCUGCAUAUGGCAGAUGUUGUUAUUGAAGCUAUUGUGGAAUCUGAAGAUGUGAAGAAAAAGUUAUUUCUUGCACUAGAUAAGAUUGUUAAAAGUUCUGCUAUUUUGGCUUCUAAUACAAGUUCCAUCUCCAUAACUCGUCUGGCAUCUACAACUAGCAGACCAGGCCAGGUUAUUUCUUUAUUUCUUCUUUUGGCCUGAAUUUAUGCUUGGAGUGUCUAAUAAUAAAAUUACAAAAUUCGGACAAAUUACAAAAGUCUCAUAUAAUUGCAUUUGAUUCAACUGUUAAUGAACUCAGAAAUUUCUGUUUUCUUUUUCAUCACCUCUUUUUUUUUUAACAAUUUGGGAUUCUGACUCGGUCAAAAACUCAAAGUAAUGCAUCAUCUGCAGGUAAUCGGCAUGCAUUUUAUGAAUCCUCCUCCCAUAAUGAAAUUGGUCGAAAUUGUGCGUGGUGCGGGCACAUCAGAUGAGACAUUUUAUGCAACCAAGUCAUUGGCUGAGAGGUGACAGAAAAUACACUCUUUGUGCAAUGUAGUUGCUGUUCAAAUGAUAAUCAGUUUUCUUAGCCAUUUAUGUGUCUGUAAUCCAAAAUAAUUAUUUUAUUCAAAACAAAACUAUUGAAUAUAUUCGAAUAGUGUUCCAUUAUGCGAAUGCGAAUGAAAUCCUCUUUUUAGCUUUUAUUAAAAAAAUUUCUCUUAUUUAGAUUUUAUUGUAAUUGUAAUCCACCAUCUAUUAACAUCAAUGGCUGUCAAAUUCUGCAGGCUUGGCAAGACAGUUAUAUGCUCUCAAGAUUUUUCCGGCUUCAUUGUAAACCGGAUUCUAAUGCCAAUGAUAAAUGAAGCAUUUCAUACUCUGUAUACAGGAGUGGCAACGAAGGAGGAUAUUGACACUGGAAUGAAGUUAGGCACAAACCACCCGAUGGGUCCUUUGGAGCUUGCAGAUUUUAUUGGAUUGGAUGUCUGCCUGUCAAUAAUGAAAGUUCUUCAUGCUGGCUUAGGCGACAGUAAAUAUGCUCCCUGUCCUCUUCUUGUGCAGUAUGUUGAUGCAGGUCGUCUUGGACGAAAAUGUGGUAUUGGGGUAUAUGAUUAUGGUAGAGCAUCUGCACAAGUAAUACCAUCUUCUCGGCUUUGAAAUUAGAUUGCUUUUCCAAAACUGGGGCAUAUAUUGCAAUUCUUUGUAUCAUGUUGCUCACCUUGGGAGGCAAUUCUGUAACAAAUUAGUAUCAGUUGCCUCGGGAGACACUCUCAUAAAUUGAGAAUAUAUUCUGUACUAAAAAGAAAGAUUGUGCUUGAAGGGAUAAUUUUUGCAGAAUUUAUUCUGUUCAAAGUUUUUGAUGCUUACACUUUUGAAUGUAAUGAAAUGAAUCUUAAUAGUAGUAAAUGGUGGAUGAUAACAGCAGUCUUUUCAAAUUAUUGGGGCAAUGUGCGUGUGUGUAUGUGCCUUUGAAAUCAAAAGAAAGCUACAAAAUCUGCAAUAGUAACAUGAUUAGAGACCUUUUGUUUAGGGUAGUGAAUCUCCACAUCAAUCCUCUUCAAAAACCAGUCCUUUUACGGGCAAUAGCAAUAGUGAAAGUUGCAUUCUAGAUUGAAAUUCACAUGCUUUCAUUUCCUUUUCUUUGUUAACAUUUAAAGCAAAGUCAAAUAAUAAUAGAAAAUAGAUAUCAUCAGCAUCUUGCUUGUGCAAGAAAAAAAAAAAAGGAUUGCGAAAAUCUGACACCAAAUUAUUACUGGAUUAAAAUUCUCAUGAUGAAAUUAACCUUAGGUUAAUUAAAUGAAGGCAAUUCAAGUAUACUGUCAAAGAUUGAGAGUUAAGAGUUUGUUUAUUGAAACAUGAAGUUAGAGACAUUUAGUUAUGUUUUAUAAUUACUUCGACAUAAGAAAGGAAAAACAAGAUUUGCGAGGUAAAUUUUCUGUUAUGUUAUGUAUUGCUUGCCAGCUGGGAAUCUUUAAUGUGAGACAAAGAAAUCAAAAAGGAGCCUCUAAAUUUCAACAAAGUGACCAAACAUGACCCACAAAGAAGAGCCGAUUAAGAGUAUUAAGUUCAUUGUUUCUCAUAUCCAACCCCACCACCAUUCCUCAUUCUAAAGCUGGCAUUAUUACGCCAUGCAUUUUCUAUAUUGAAAGUGAUUGAAUUGGAAUCCAAUGGAUUAUUAAAAAUUAAAAAAAAUGAACAACAUUAUUUGAUAAGAAAUAAAAAAAAAGGUAUAAUCCAAAAAAAAAAAAAAGAAACAAAAAAGAAGAUAAAAAGGCAUAGGAAAGCUAAAACUUUCCCUACUUUACAAGGUAGACUUGAGAGUUGAGAGUAUAGAGAGAGAGAGAGAGAGAGAGAGCAGGGUUAAGUAAUGAAGUUCUUGUUUCAGUGUCCUUGUUGCUCAUGUUUUUGCUUUGUGAAGCCCAAGAAGGGAAAACCAAAGCCGAAGGAAGCUAAAGUAGAGGACUCCAAGGAAGAGAAAAAAGAGUGAUAAAAAAUUGCAAAUGCUGCAUUGCUGAUGCAAAAUGGGUAUUUGGGUGCUCAAGUAAUUGUUUGUAUGUACAAUUUUCUUUCUAUUUCAUGUGAAAUGCUUCCAUCUUUAAUUGCUUUCCAUGGAAAAUAAGGUGUCACAUUACUUUUAUUUUACAAAAUCUCAUAAAAUGUAUGAGAUAUCAAGCUCAUAUCUAGUUUCUGCUUAUUUUGCUUCAAAGCUUGCAUAUAGUCAUUUUGUCUCUUGCCCCUAUAGUGGAAAAUGUGAAUGAGCCUAUCUUUAGUGAGGAUUGAAGCAUU